CCCAGCGAUGAUUUAAAAGUUCAGAAGGUUGAGAUUAAGAUACCCAAAGGAGGUUCCACACAGACUUUCUCAUGACCAAUCAAAGAAUUGGUACCAGGUGGUACGGUGCUAUGAGUGACUUAUGCAAGAGUACCAGGUGGUACGGUGCUAUGGCGGGGAGAAUGCCGCUAUAACUGUUAACUUGCCACUGUAGACUACAGGACUUUAGCCAUCUGUUAUUGGACUUCAUGUUUUAUUGUUCAUUUACUGCAUACCUUCUUUGUUUUGCAGGUAUCUCGUAUUUAUGGUCUACACACCAGUAUUAUUUUCCAAUGUUUUCU
This is a non-coding RNA of Pelobates cultripes (western spadefoot toad), 320 nucleotides long. The record is from the annotation of a GenBank genome assembly. NCBI's taxonomy places the organism in Eukaryota, Metazoa, Chordata, Amphibia, Anura, Pelobatidae.